Molecule: ribosomal RNA, 724 nt
Filed under: uncultured Rhizophagus
Lineage: Eukaryota; Fungi; Glomeromycota; Glomeromycetes; Glomerales; Glomeraceae
Description: SSU rRNA
Rfam family: Eukaryotic small subunit ribosomal RNA
Source: RNAcentral
AGGGCACGACACCGGAGAGGGAGCCUGAGAAACGGCUACCACAUCCAAGGAUGGCAGCAGGCGCGCAAAUUACCCAAUCCCGACACGGGGAGGUAGUGACAAUAAAUAACAAUACGGGGUUCUUUAGGAUCUCGUAAUUGGAAUGAGUACAAUUUAAAUCUCUUAACGAGGAACAAUUGGAGGGCAAGUCUGGUGCCAGCAGCCGCGGUAAUUCCAGCUCCAAUAGCGUAUAUUAAAGUUGUUGCAGUUAAAAAGCUCGUAGUUGAAUUUCGGGGUUAGUAGGUUGGUCAUGCCUCUGGUAUGUACUGGUCUCACUGAUUCCUCCUUCCUGAUGAACCUUAAUGCCAUUAAUUUGGUGUUUUGGGGAAUUUGGACUGUUACUUUGAAAAAAUUAGAGUGUUUAAAGCAAGCUAACGCUUGAAUACAUUAGCAUGGAAUAAUGAAAUAGGACGUUCGAUCCUAUUUUGUUGGUUUCUAGGAUUGACGUAAUGAUUAAUAGGGAUAGUUGGGGGCAUUAGUAUUCAAUUGUCAGAGGUGAAAUUCUUGGAUUUAUUGAAGACUAACUACUGCGAAAGCAUUUGCCAAGGAUGUUUUCAUUAAUCAAGAACGAAAGUUAGGGGAUCGAAGACGAUCAGAUACCGUCGUAGUCUUAACCAUAAACUAUGCCGACUAGGGAUCGGAUGAUGUUAAUUUUUUAAUGACUCAUUCGGCGCCUUACGGAACA